Gavialis gangeticus (Gharial) is the source of this 904-nucleotide long non-coding RNA. RefSeq lists it as uncharacterized. NCBI's taxonomy places the organism in Eukaryota, Metazoa, Chordata, Crocodylia, Gavialidae. The transcript is spliced from 3 exons. The record is from RefSeq and is a predicted model, not a curated record.
GGCAUGGAGGGAACGGAGGCAGACCGUGCUUGCAGCUGGGCUGUACCAUCCCCGGGCAGCACGGAAGAUACUGGAAGGGGGAAGGCUGUGCGUCGCAGCACAGCAGCUGGGCCAGGGUCAGACGGGCUGGCAGAGCAGCCCACGGCCGCACGCCUGCUCCAGGACCCGCGUGCACACGCAGCGUGGCAGAGGGUGACACACGUGCACAGAGAAACAGCUCCCAGGCUCAGAUACGCACGUGCACGCACGCAUGCAACCGCGUGGACUCGUGCUUUCUGUGUGUGUCACGUUUUCUGCGCGGAGGCCUUGCUCCUGCCCUUGGGGAGGUCAAGCGGUGGAGCCGGUCAUGCAGAGGCCUGCUGUGUGACUGAUCCCCUUCGCCUUUGCCUGAAACCCAUCGGGAUGUCUUCAACCUGCUCUUUCCCACGUGGAUGGCACCUCCCCAUGCUGCGACCUGCCUUGUUUAGGGCAGAGAUGGGAGCAUGUGCUUUGCCUCCCUUUCUAUGUGGCCUGCUCUCCCUCUGUGCCUCAGUUUCCCCAUGUGUCAGAUGAGGGCGGGACUCCAUGGAGCUCCUAGGUGACGACUCGAGCCAGAUCCCUGGCUGGUGCGGGAGCCUGGCUGCUUGCACUGGCUGCAGGUCUGGCCCCAUGUGUGUGAGCGAACCACCGGGAGCUUUGCCCGCGUGAGGGUGGAUCGGGACUGACCCUGGGAGGGCUGAUUCCGGCGAUGCCCAGUGCCUGGCUCUGCAGCUGCUGCCUGGACCGAACCCAAAGGCCUUUUCCACCUACCUGGGUUCGCACAGCGUGGAGCACGAUGCAGGUGAAAGGAAGUCACUGGUCCUCAGAGACGUGGAGAAAAGCCCGAUCCCUGAUCCGCGUGUUCAAAACGGUUGAAAAUGAAUAC